CACGAGGUAGAAAGUCAACUAUUGGCGUGGAAGACGCUGCGGCCGGGUGCCCUGCCUUUGCUUAGCAUGCUGGGAAAUGUAGUUCCAGACGGCCGCAUGCGCAGGCGCACUUCCUGGCAUGUGGCGUGAAGACGCUGGAGAGUCGGACGGUGUUCGUUUCUUCGUGGAGCUGAUUUCAGGAGCCUGGUAUUCCAUUCUCUUGGCCUCAGAUGCCAAGGAAAAGAUAGAAGAAGGUGGUAGCAUGAGGGUUUUUAUCGAAUACAUCGAAGCCCUGGACAACUCUUCUCUGUUCUUUAAGUUUCAUAUGAAAGAGAAUGGAAAGUGUACGACACAAUCUCUGGUUUCUCACAAAACAGAAAAGGAUGGUGUAUAUAGUAUUGAGUAUGAUGGAUACAAUUUAUUUACCAUAGAUGAAACGGACUAUAAAUAUGUCAUAUUUCAUCUUAGAAAUUUUGACAAGACGACUCCAUUCCAACUGAUGGAGCUCUACGCCCGAGAACCAGAUGUGAGUCCAAAACUCAAGGAAAAGUUUGUGAAAUAUUGCCAAGAAUAUGGGAUUGUUAAAGAAAAUGUAAUUGACCUGACCAAAGUUGAUCGCUGUUCCCAGGCCCGAGGGAGCGAAGUGGCCCAGGCCUCCAGGCAAAUUUCCAGAUCUCAAUUUCUUUUGGUGAUGAAGAUUCUUCAAAAACUUACCACUACUGACAACUGCUUUGCUUUGAAGUAAAGCAGUGACCCUUGCUGAGGUUCUGCUUUCUAACAAGCUCCCAGAGAUACCAAAGCUGUGCUACCUUGGGAGAAGGGGGACACAGGAGACGUGAAACUAUUCAUCUUACCUUCUUCAUUACCUCUAUUCUUGGAUUAUUUUGCUCCGCCUGGGUACUGGAAACCUCCAACCUGUACCUCCCACUUCACAUAAGUGGACACUUGGCUAUUAUAAAGCACGAUGAACAUUCAUGUAU
Molecule: RNA transcript, 959 nt
Organism: Hyaena hyaena (striped hyena)
Lineage: Eukaryota; Metazoa; Chordata; Mammalia; Carnivora; Hyaenidae
Gene name: allergen Fel d 4-like
Exons: 9
Source: RefSeq, a predicted model, not a curated record